RNAcentral lists this ribosomal RNA (1014 nucleotides) under Escherichia coli. RNAcentral describes it as "partial 23S ribosomal RNA". It matches the Rfam family "Bacterial large subunit ribosomal RNA", at positions 1929 to 2925 of the family's 2925-position model. Lineage: Bacteria; Pseudomonadati; Pseudomonadota; Gammaproteobacteria; Enterobacterales; Enterobacteriaceae. The record is from RNAcentral.
GGCGGCCGUAACUAUAACGGUCCUAAGGUAGCGAAAUUCCUUGUCGGGUAAGUUCCGACCUGCACGAAUGGCGUAAUGAUGGCCAGGCUGUCUCCACCCGAGACUCAGUGAAAUUGAACUCGCUGUGAAGAUGCAGUGUACCCGCGGCAAGACGGAAAGACCCCGUGAACCUUUACUAUAGCUUGACACUGAACAUUGAGCCUUGAUGUGUAGGAUAGGUGGGAGGCUUUGAAGUGUGGACGCCAGUCUGCAUGGAGCCGACCUUGAAAUACCACCCUUUAAUGUUUGAUGUUCUAACGUUGGCCCGUAAUCCGGGUUGCGGACAGUGUCUGGUGGGUAGUUUGACUGGGGCGGUCUCCUCCUAAAGAGUAACGGAGGAGCACGAAGGUUGGCUAAUCCUGGUCGGACAUCAGGAGGUUAGUGCAAUGGCAUAAGCCAGCUUGACUGCGAGCGUGACGGCGCGAGCAGGUGCGAAAGCAGGUCAUAGUGAUCCGGUGGUUCUGAAUGGAAGGGCCAUCGCUCAACGGAUAAAAGGUACUCCGGGGAUAACAGGCUGAUACCGCCCAAGAGUUCAUAUCGACGGCGGUGUUUGGCACCUCGAUGUCGGCUCAUCACAUCCUGGGGCUGAAGUAGGUCCCAAGGGUAUGGCUGUUCGCCAUUUAAAGUGGUACGCGAGCUGGGUUUAGAACGUCGUGAGACAGUUCGGUCCCUAUCUGCCGUGGGCGCUGGAGAACUGAGGGGGGCUGCUCCUAGUACGAGAGGACCGGAGUGGACGCAUCACUGGUGUUCGGGUUGUCAUGCCAAUGGCACUGCCCGGUAGCUAAAUGCGGAAGAGAUAAGUGCUGAAAGCAUCUAAGCACGAAACUUGCCCCGAGAUGAGUUCUCCCUGAGACUUAGAGUCUCCUGAAGGAACGUUGAAGACGACGACGUUGAUAGGCCGGGUGUGUAAGCGCAGCGAUGCGUUGAGCUAACCGGUACUAAUGAACCGUGAGGCUUAACCUUACAACGCCGAAG